CAAGAGCAAGAUCAUGAGGAGGAGUUUGACCCUGUCAGGAGGAUUAAAGAUGGGUUUAUUCACUUCAAGAUCCACCAUUUCGAGUACGAUGGCACUACUUUCAGAUACUAAUCAAUGGAGUAACUCAUUUCAUCUGAUUCUAAUCUCUAUAAGAAAACUAAGUAUACCUAAAAAGCAUACAUGAAUAAUCAAGUGAAAAUAAAGUCUAGGAGAAUCCUUCUCCCCUUCUCUUUUUUCCUUUGAAUAAUUUGGAUGAAUUAAUUGUUCUUAUGGAUAUGGCAAUUGGCAUGAUUUUGCAGCAAGUAUCCAGAUUACUAUAAACAACUUGCAGAAGGGCAGCACCCCAAGGUACUCUUUAUAAGCUAUGAUUUCCUAAUCGAACAGCAGUUUUUUUCCCUACCCAGUUUUGAUGGAACCUUACCUAAUGGAACAUUUUCUAAUCCUGCAGUUUCUGGUGUUUGCGUGCUCUGAUUCCCGCGUUAGCCCCUCUCAUGUCCUCAACUUCAAGCCAGGGGAAGCCUUCAUGUGCAGGAACAUUGCUAACAUGGUUCCUGCAUUUAAUCAGGUGGAUUUAGGAUUUUGCAAUAAUAAGCCAUCUUUGGCCAAAAGCCAUGGCAUUCUCAUUAGCCUUAUAGCAGUCUUGCAUAAUACAUGUGUUUGUGUGGUUCACAGUUGAGAUACUCAGGAGUUGGUGCAGUCAUUGAAUAUGCAGUCAAGCAUCUUGAGGUGAAUUCCAAUUCACUUUCUUUUUUUCUUUUUUUUUAGAUUAGUAUUCAAAUUCCCUUUCACUAGUCUUUUCUGGGGGGUUUCUUCAUGUCUUUAAGGGUCAGAAAUUAACUUAAUCACAGGUGGAGAACAUCCUGGUCAUAGGACAUAGUCGCUGCGGUGGGAUACAGGCCCUUAUGUCUCUUCCUGCUGAUGGAACUACUUCCAAGUAUGGCUGAUCAUAACUUAAUUCCUCCAUUAAGCUUCAUCUUUCUCACCCAUCUAACUGAUAUUUGCAGUGACUUCAUCGAUGACUGGGUCAAAAUCGGUUUACCAGCCAAGGCCAAGGUGGAAUCAGAGUGGAGCGACGCAACAUUUGAGGAACAAUGUGAACAUUGUGAAAAGGUAUAGUUCUUGGCCAUUAUAUACAUUCACACACAGUUUGAAGUAGGUCGUAACAAAUGAUAUUAGAAUCAGGUUCCAAUUCCAGUAUGGAAGUUUAUUUGAUCCCACAAAGAAUGUUUGUUUAUAUCGGAUGAAAGAAAAAUUUUUGAAUGUUAUAUAUGAUUUCCCUUAACUUUAUAAACAUAUUUUAAAAUUAUGAAAACCUCCUUAGAACUUAAAAAUGAACAGUAUUUAUAUGAUUUGGAGUAAAUCAUCAUCACUCAUGAAUGAUUUUGUGCAGGAGUCGGUGAAUUUGUCUCUGGUCAAUCUAUUGAGCUAUCCGUAUGUGCGAGCAGCACUAGCUAACAGAGCUUUGAAGUUGAUGGGUGGUUACUAUGAUUUCGUUAAUGGAACUUUUGGGCUAUGGAAAGCUGAUUUUGAUAUCACACCCGAAAUUAUCAUAUAAACUUGGAUCAAGUUAGGUGCCCAACCACCGUGUUUGCUUACUUUUUCACUUCAAUAAUGUAGUGUUUUUGUGUUCGAUGAUGAAUAAGUCCCAACAAAAACUACCGAGCGAGUUAUCUACUUGCUCUCUUUUGUUGGUUUCCUCUGUAUGUUGUCAUUUGAAGACAGAAAUUUUAAAUACAUUUUGAAUUUCAUAUCAAGUUGAUUUUAGUCGGUGUUUCUGAAACCAAAUCAGGCUGUAUUGAUUGAAUCGUCAACCAGUCAUGUGUUUGAUUUUAUUCACCUUCUGGAUCGUUUUCCUUGUGAAAUUGGUCGAUCAAUUGAUGGAUUUGGAGAUUGAUUGGUCUGUCUACACAUUUUUUUUUUUUUUUUGCAAAUCCUAAAGUGCAAUAUCUCACUUUUCAAACUUCCCUUUCCAAACAUCGAACACAGGAAUACCAAGGGGAUAGGUUCGGUAGAGAUCCCUUGUCCCAACCUUGCCCCUAUAUAAUGUAACAAUCUACGAAACCCGCAUUUCGCACGAUGCGUUCCCACCUCACUUUUUAUUUAUUGAAAAUUUGAUUUUUUUGAAAAAGAUUUGGAGUUACCAGUUAUUUUAAUUUUUUUUAAAGGAAAAACAAAAUAAGAAAGAAAAAUCUUAAGUGUGAUUCCUAAAGGAAAAACAAGUCUAUGAAAAACUAAGUCUGGGUUCUGAGGUCGGGUUACUUAUUGAGAAGGUAUGAUGGUAAGCUGUAGCACCCCUCUAAGCCCGUAUACGUACAACCUCUACUAAUCGAAUGAAGGGAUUUGUAGUAAUUAAUUAAUUAAUUAUGGAUACCAAGAAAAAAUAAUCAUGCAAAUGAGUAUGUACAAGUUAUGGUGAAAAUCAAUAUACACAUAAAUAAUAAUGAAAUCUAAUUACCAGAAUACACAAAAUAAAUAACAAAAGAAUUAUGCAAAAUGAUUUAUUGAACUAAAGAAAAAAAUAUUUAAAGAAUUAGUUUUCAAGAAACUUCAAAGGAUUUUAUUAAAAAUGAUUUUGAAUUAAUGGUUUCAAUUUAUUUAUUUACAAAAAAGAAGUUUCAAUUUAUUUUCAAUUAAUGAUUUGAUUCAAUUUCAUUUGUAUUUAAUUUUUAAAAAAAGUUAUUUGCCCUUAUUGUAUAAAAAGAAUUUAUUAAAAAUAAUAUAUAUAUAUAUAUAUAUAUAUAUAUAUAUAUAUAUAUAUAUAUAUAAAAGAAAGAAAGAAAUUAAUAGAAACACAAAUUUUUCCAAAAUCAAUUACAAAAAUGUUUAAAUCUCUCUCUCUCUCUCUUUUUAUUUAUUUAUUUUUAUCUACUAGAAAUUAUUUCUUGUUUGAUUUUAUUAAAAAAAAUUUAUUGAAAAAAAAGGUUUAUUCAAUUUUGUUAGGACUAAAAGUAAAUAAAUAAAAAUUAAUAAAAAAUAAAAAGAAAGUUUAUCUAAUUUUAUUUAAAAAUUGAUUUUUUCAAGUUUUAUCCAUAAGAGUAAUACAAUUUGAUUGUUGAUUUUUUUUUAAAAAAAAGAACUUUAAAAUUUUAUAUUUAGUUUAAAAAGAGAAUUUUGCAUUUUCACAAUUUUAUUUAAAAUGGAUGAAUUUUAUUUGACUUUCAUCAUAACAAAAAGGAUUUUUAAGAUUUUGUAUUAAAAAAAAAAUUCAAUUCAAUUUUAUUUGAAAGAAACUGUUUACAAUUUUAUUUAUGUACAAAUUUAUUUAAAAUUUUAUAACUUUAAAUAAGGAAUUUUUACUUGCUUGGAGGAAAAUUGUCUUUUAUUAAGAAGGAAUUUUUUUAUUAAAAAAAGAAAGUUAGCUUUGUAGAAUUCAGUAUCUAUUAAAAAUAAAAUAAAAUAAAAUCACCUAGAUGACUCCUCUAUUUAUUUAUUUUUAAGACAAAAAAUUUUAAAAAAAUAUUGAAAAGGGAUUUUGGUUUAUUAGAACUAAAAAAAAUAUUUACAAAUAAUUAAAUCUAGAAAAAGAGCUUUAGUUUUGUUAUUAUUAGUAUUAUAAAAUGAACAAAUAAAUAAAUAGAUAAAUUAAAAAAAAUCUAUAAGCAGAAACAUCAUUAUUCCGUUAUCAUUAGAUUUACACAAUAAUCUGAAAAUUAAAAACAAUACAAAAUAAAUGAAUGACUAAAUAAACAAACGAAUAAAUAAAUUACUGCAUACACAACAAUAACCGAAUUAAAAUAUUUACAAGGAUAUGAAAUGAAAUGAAUCAUAUACAUACACCGAUAUAUAUCAAAAUGGCAUGCAGAAUAAAUCCAAUAUAUCUUAAAAUAAAUAUAAAAUAAAAUAAAAACAAAGAGAAGGACAUGGAUAAUCGGUAUACCCUUUACAGUGCAAUCCCAAAUCUAGUGGCUCUCCACAGCUUCCUCAACAAAGUUUAGAAAUACCCACAAACAUCUCAAACCUCUCAUAGACAAAAUAAAUAAAUAAAAUAAAUAAUGCUAAGAAAAUACAAAGAGAGUUUUUCUAGAAAAAUCCAGAGAGUCAUCUUCCUUAGCUGUCUUUCUCUCCCCUCUUUUUUUGGCUGCAAGAUGAUCCCAUUAUCCCCAAAUUAGGUUCACCAACUUUCUGCCCAUGCCCAUGCCUUGCCUCUAACUGCUCCAACUGCUCCCAAUCAACACUGCACUUCUCUUCCCACUCUCAACAACAACAAAAAAAAAAACGUCACAACCAUGUAUUAGCAAAAAGGGUCAAGCCUAAUACAAGAUUUAAUAAAUACACCAUGGAGGAAAAUAUCGGGAUAUAUCGGCGAUAUAUCUUGUAUCGGGAGGUGGCGACACGGCAUUUCAAGGAGAAAAAUCGAAGGACGAUUUUUCGCAAAAAAUCGCCAAUAAAUCGACGAUAUAUCGGUGAAAAUCGAUAAAUCGGCGAUUUCCCCAAAUAAUCGCCUGUGGCCGUAGAAAAUCGCCGAUAAAUCGCCGACUUUUUGGAGAUAUUUCGCUCCUCUCUCCAGCACGAUCUGACGGCCCAGAUCACGCCCGCGUUGAUCCAACGGCCAGAUUUGUCCUAGUUUGUGAUCCAACGGCCAUAUUUGAAUUUCAACGGUAAAUUGGUGUUCCAACGGCUAUUUUGGCCCAAAUUCCUUCUAUAAAUAGCCAUUUUUCCAUCAAUUUCACCCAUUUUUGCUUUCAUUCUUCAUUUGCUCUCUCAUUACUCCAAUUUUAAAGUAUGUUUAUUUUAAAUUGUAAUUAAUUUUGUUUGCAAUUGUAAUUAAUAUGGAUGAUUUAAUGUUAUUUUUAUAUUCAAUAGUAAUUAAUUUGUAUAUUUUUAUUGAAUUGACUUAGGUUAAUUUGAUUAUUUAAUUAUAAAUUGAUAUGUUUAUUUUAAAUGAUUAUUUGUGAUUUAGUUUCAUAUUUAGAAUGAUUAUUUGUGAUUUAGUUUCAUAUUUAAUUAAUUUAAUUAACAUGCUAAAUUAUUUAAUUAAUUUAAUUAACAUGAACUAGUAUAUUUUGAAUAUGAAAUAUGUUCAUUUUUAUGAUUAUUGAGAUUUUUUUUCAUAUUCAAUUAUGAUUAGUUUUUAAUUUAGUAAAUUUAUCAUAGAAUUAGAUCUAGAUUUAAAAAAUUAACUUAGCUAAAUUAUUUAAUUAGUUUAAUUAACAUGAACUACUAUAUAUGGAAUGUUAAAUAUGUUCAAUUUUUAUGAUUAUCAUGAUUUAGUUUCAUAUCCAAUUAUGAUUAAUUUUUAAUUUAGUAAAUUUUUCAUAGAAUUAGAUUUAGAUUAAAAAAAUUAACUUAGCUAAAUUAUUUAAUUAGUUUAAUUAACAUGAACUACUAUAUAUAUGGAAUAUUAAAUAUGUUCAAUUUUUAUGAUUAUCAUGAUUUAGUUUCAUAUCCAAUUAUGAUUAAUUUUUAAUUUAGUAAAUUUUUCAUGGAAUUAGAUUUAGAUUCAAAAAAUUAACUUAGCUAAAUUAUUUAAUUAGUUUAAUUAACAUGAACUACUAUAUAUGGAAUAUUAAAUAUGUUCAAUUUUUAUGAUUAUCAUGAUUUAGUUUCAUAUCCAAUUAUGAUUAAUUUUUAAUUUAGUAAAUUUUUCAUAGAAUUAGAUUUAGAUUCAAAAAAUUAACUUAGCUAAAUUAUUUAAUUAGUUUAAUUAAAUAUAUGGAAUAUCAACUAUGUUCAUUCUUUAUCAUUAUUUUGUACAUUUCUCAUAUAUUUAAAUUUAAAUAUUGACUUGAUUUUUGUUUACAUUGAAAUCACAUUCAAGUGUAUUUUUAUUGCAAUAGAUUUAGCAUGGCUAGUGAAGGUGGUUCUGCCCUGCCAGGGCGAGAUCCGGCUUGGAAGUAUUGUUUACCAAUUGGGGGUAACCGAAAUGGAACAAUUUGUAAUUUCUGUGGGUUGGUGAUGAAAAGUGGAGGCAUCACGCGAUUCAAGUUCCAUUUAAUGCAUAAAGACCCGCAUAACAACACCAAAAAGUGUCCGAGAGUGCCGCCCGAAGUGAAAGAAGAGAUACGAUUCCUAGUGCAUGACAAAACAAAAGCAAAAGCAAAGAAAAAUGCUGAUAUUGAAGACAUUCGUGCUCAAUUACGUGGCACAAUGGGGACUCAUCAUACACAUUUGGUAGACGAAGAUAAUGAUGAAGAUGUUGAGAAUGAAGAUGUGUAUAUGUAUCCGACAGAUAUGCACCCAAAUGAGCGGGAUGCAUAUCGAUCUGCAGUUCGUGCCUCGAAAGCAUCAAAAUGGGAACGUGAACAAUAUGAGAAUAUUGUAGGGAGCAAACGCAAAACGGGGGAGUCUUCACAGUCUACUGGAUUACCGCCGAUGAUGCGAAAAUCACAUAGUAUGCGACAUUCGCAACAAUCACCCCCUAUUGCCCCUUCGCUUUACAAGUCUUCUGCAGCAAAACAAAAAAAUAUCAAAGAUAUAUUCAAGGGUGGUGCAAUUAAAGAAACGAUGGGACGCUUAAUUAGCAAAUUCUUCAUUUAUGAGAGCGUCGCACCCGCAAAAGCAAAGUCUCAUCACUUCAAGAAUAUGAUUAUUGGUGCACAACAAGCUGGUAAUUACUAAUUUUUGAAAUGUUAUAUUGUGCUAUACUUUUAGUAAGUAUAGUCUUUUGUGACAUGUUUUACAUUUUUUUUUUUAUAUGAAGUGCAGGAAUGGGAAUUGAACCUCCAUCUCCAUUUGACAUAAAGAACAAGUACUUGGAAAUGGAGUACAGAGAAAUGGAAGCUUAUGUGAACCAACAAAGAGAAAAAUGGAAGACAUAUGGGUGCACAAUAAUGUCAGAUGGAUGGACAGGGCCCACGAAAUUAAGUAUUAUUAAUUUCAUGGUUUAUUCUAAAGGGAGCACGGUCUUCCUUAAGUCAGUUGAUGCAUCGAACUAUAUCAAAGACCACAAGUAUAUAUACGACCUAUUGAAGACUGUUAUCAAAGAAGUCGGUAAAGAAAUGUGGUCCAAAUUGCCACAGAUAAUGGGUCGGUGUUCAUGAAAGCAGGGAAACAAUUGAUGAAGAAGUAUAACUUAUACUGGACUCCGUGUGCGGCGCACUGCAUCGACUUAAUCUUUGAAGACAUUGGUAAAAGACCCAGUGUUAUCGAGGUGAUAAACAAUGCUCGCAAGAUAACUAACUUCAUUUACAAUCAUGGUUGGUUACUAGCACAAAUGAGACUGUAUUGUGGUGGAGACAUUGUUCGACCAGGAGCUACAAGGUUUGCUACCAAUUAUAUUGCUCUUGACAGUCUUCUUAAAAAAAGGGUCGAUUUGAAAAAAUUGUUUAUGAGUGAUGAUUGGGCACAACACAAGCUGAGUCGAACAAAACAUGGACGAGAGUUGGAGCAAUUAUUGUUUGACCAUGCGUAUUGGGACAGAAUGACAAAUAUAGUUUCAUUAUAUGAGCCAUUAUACGUGGUGCUUCGACUUAUGGAUUCUGAAGUUGUUCCCACAAUGCCAUUUGUGUAUGAACUUAUGCACGUGAUGAAAAAGAACCUUACGCAUUAAGGAACUGGAGAUUGGAUGUUCAAAAUAAUACAAGAUCGUUGGGAGAAAACACUAAAACAUCCACUUCAUGCAACAGGUACUUAAAUACUAUAUAUCUUUAUAAGUUUUUACUCUGUAUUUAAUUUUGUUUAAAAAAAUACUAACUCUACUUAAUUUUAUUGUAGCAUACUUCUUGAAUCCAAGAUUUCAAUAUAAGCGUGGAGUUGGUAGUGAUCCGGAACUACUUCAAGCGGUCCAUGAUGUUUUUGCAAAAUUAGAUCCAACUACUGAAUCACUUGGUCAAUUUGGAAAUGAGGUAAAUAAAAAACUGUUAUUUGUCUAUAAAACAAUAAUUUCAUUCAUCAAUUUAUUUGAACGUUUACUAACAAAUAUGAUAUUAACAAAUUAAAUGUUGAAUACAUAGCUUGUGCUUUUUCGAGAUGCAAAAAGAGGAUUUGGUGAUUGAGCGGCAAUUGCAGCAAGGUCAACCAUGGUGCCCGGUAAGUCUUUAUAGGAAAAAAUUGAUUAUCAUUAUUGUAAAUUCACCACAUAAGUAUUUAUAUGAUUAUCAAAUUGGUUGCAGCUGAAUGGUGGUUUAUGUAUGGGAAUCAAACACCUACAUUGAGAAAGUUAGUCAUCAAAGUUCUCUCACAAACUGCGUCAUCUACUGCCUAUGAGAGAAAUUGGAGCACGUUUGCUCUCAUCCACACAAAGCAACGAAAUCGUUUGGCUUACUCUCGAUUGGAGCAAUUAGUUUUUUGUUACUAUAAUAUGAGGCUAAAGUUACGCGAUAUGGAGGCAGAAAAUGAUCGAGUUGCUGAAAAAGAUUAUCUUGAUCUUCUUGACAUUUCAGCCGAGGUGGGUGAAAAAGAAGAUAAUCAGUUGUUCCAAUGGGUGAGGCCUAUACACUUGGAUGACGAAGUUGGAAAUCUCGAUCCACGAAUUGCCGCUCAUGCUCGAGAAUUUGGAGUUAAUGUUGAACGUGUGUUGUCUGAAGAAGUUCACUCUGAAAGUUUUAGCAAAGAUACUGAUGAUUCCCACCAAGAGAUUGACUCCACAAGUGCUGGCCAUAGUAGUAGACCUAGUGCUGCAGGUACUUCUGCUUUUGGUUACGAUGGUUCAAGAGGUGGAACUGAUGAUGGAGGUGAUAAUGCGGGAGGAGAUAUUAAUGAACGUCAACAUAGUCAAUUCACCUGUGAAAAUACUUUCACACACUGCACACAGGAUGAAGACCAUGGCUCUAGAAGAGCUGGUCCAGGCAUAGGAGCUAUUGGGAAGCCUUAUAGAGGAAGAGAACGAAUGAUGAAACCAUAUAAUGAGGAGUUACUUUCAGGGAGUUUUGAAUCUAUGAGUAUAGGAACUCAAUUUAGUGACUCCUCGAAUGAGGCUAAUGUCUACCCUCCUCAUGUGAUGAGUUAUGGUCAACCUUCAAGUUCAACAGAUGAAGAGUAUGGUAUGUCGCGUUAUUCACCUUCUAGACAAAUGCCUUACCAAGUUCCAUAUCAGAUGGAAGGAGGAUUGGGCAUUAACACAUGGGUGAACUUUGAGUAUCCUAUCUAUGUAGAGGCAGUGGGUAGGACUCAAGAGAUAUAUGCAUGGCAUGUUAGAAUUUUUAACCAAUAUUAUCGAGGCUCAUUAAGUUGGUACCAAUAUUGUCUCCAACAGCAAGACAACGUUCCUUCAUCUAUCAAUCCCAUUGAACCACAUCGAUCCUCAUUUUGGUACUAAAGGGACAUUGUAAUGUAAUGUGUACAAAUUAUUGCUAUUUAAUGAAAUGAAGUAUUUUAUGUGACUUUAUAAUGAGAACAAUUACAAAAUUAACAUUUCUUAUAGAUCGACAUGAUAUAAUUACAUUUAAUAUCGUAAAUUAUAUCAUAUGUAUAUCAAAUUUUUCUACAAAACAACUUUAAAAUGUCUAUUAUACUUCUAAUUAUAUUAUUAUGAAGUUUUUAACAAUUUUAAGCCUACCAAUAUUUUUUUCCAAAAUAUCCGCCAAAAAUUGAAGUACCGAUAUAUCCGUGAUUACCGAUAUUUUCUUCCAUGAAAUACACUAGCCCAAAUCCAACUAAUAUAAUAGGCCCAAAUUUCAAUCACCAACAACAUAUGGGCCCAAAAUCCAUAUCAAUAAGCAAAUUAGGCCCAAAUCUCAUAACGCAAAGCCAAAGACAAAAACAAAUCAAAAUAAAAAUAAAAACAAAUGAGAAAAAUAAAAUAAAAUAAAAUGAAAUAAUAAAAAAAACAAAUAAGUAAAUGAAAUCUUACCUAUCUUCUAACCCACGAACAAAGAUGCAGCAAUCGAUGACCAGGGGGAGUGACAAUGAAGACAGAGACACGUUUAUGGCAGUGCAUAAAAGAAAAUGAAAGAAGAAAAAAAAGAAAAGAAAAAGUAAAAAUAAAUAAAUAAAAUAAAAUAAAAUAAUAAAAUAAAAACUUAAAAAAUAUAGAAAGAAUAAAUGGAAAGAAAAAAAGUAAAAGAAAAAGAAAAGAAAAGAAGAUAAGAAGAAUAAGAAGGGAUGGAGGUUGUGAGUGGGCGGCAGAAUGGGGAAAAAAAAUGGGCUUUUAAGGUUUGACUUUUGGAAUGGAUGGUGGAGAUUAAAAAGGAAAAAGAAUGACUAGGAUUAGUUCUCACAUAUGGGUAUGGAAAGUUGGGCCUAGAUUGUGCCAAAAUUAAAAUGGAAUGAGCCCAUAUAAACACAAUCAAAAUCAGCCCUAUAAAUUAAUAAUAAAUAAAUAAAUAAUAGUAAAUAAAAAUAAAAUAAAAUAAAAUAAGUGAGAAUGAGUAAGAGACAAAUUUUAGGGUUUACAAAUAUGACCCUCUUCGGUAGAGUUCAUGAGUAAAGUGAGUGUAUACACAAGCAAAACGAAGUGAACUUUGCCGAAGAACAAGAAAAACCACCAAAUUUGUCCCAAUAUGACACAAGUUCUCUUAAACCAAAACAAGAAUAAAAAGGCUUUAAAACCCUAUAAAAAUAAAAUAGCAAGAACGGAAACUCCUAAGGUGCCCCUAAAGUUACACUAUAGAUCUAGACUCUCUCAUAAAAGUCUCCAAAAGUGACUCAAAAAUUGAUGUCGAAGUCGAGUGGCAGUUGAACCACUAAGGAGCAUAGAAAUGAGUACAAAGGGAAAAACCAUACAUGUAUCAUACAAGAACACAAUGCAUAGAGUAUCCAACAAUAUAAUUGAAACACGUGUUACGAGUUGAAAAGACUAUGUCAUGUGCCAUGGAGGAGAGGAAACCCUAUAAUAGCAUGAUAAAGAAGUGAUAAGCACAAUGUAACAAAGUGAUGAAAAUAGCAAUGAGUGCAAAGCUAUGAGGAUAAGGUGCGCAUUGCUAAUGAAUAUAAAAUGAACAACACUGGGUUAUGAUGCAAUGAACAGCUCGGGGUUGUGGAUGUAAUGAACAACUUAGGGUUGUGGAUGUCAUGAACAAUUCAAGAAGAGGGGCACUAUACGCCCAAAGGGGGAGAUUGCGGUCCGCGACUCCAAGUCAAAUCACUAAAGGAUGACCGAGAUGAGGGUGAUCAACUCACUAAAAGAGAGGAUCUAAAUGCCUCAAGAGAGGGGGAUGCCCCAGAUGAAACUCAAAGGAAAUGAGUAGCGUUAAUGAAACUAAAAAAAUGAAAAGAUGUCACAACUAAAAUUGAAAAGAUAACAAACUCAGAACUAAAACUGCAAUGAACAACUUUGGGUUGUGGAUACAAUGAACAACACCGGGCUAUAAUGAAUGAACAACUCUAAGAUAUGGGCACUGUGAGCCCCAAAAAGGGAGAUCGUGGUCUGCGGCUCCAAGUCAAAUCACCAAUGGGUGACCAAGAUGAGGAAAAUAUCAACUCACUAACAAGAAGGAUCGAAAUGACUAAAUGAUGGGGGUAUGCCCCAAAUGAAACUCAACGAUAAAAGGAUAACACAAAUGAAACUAAAACAAGAAAAUGCCCUAAAUAAAACUAAAAUGAUAACAAACUCAUAACUAAUGUGCAAUGAACAACUCUGGGCUAUGGAUGCAAUGAACAACUCUAAGAUAUGGGCACUGUACGCCUAAAGAAGGAAGUCGCAGUUUGCUGCUCUAAGUCAAAUCACCAAUGGGUGACCAAGAUGAGGAAAAUAUCAAAUCACUAACAAGAAAGAUCAAAAUGACUAAAGGAUGGGGGUAUGCUCCAAAUGAAACUCAACGAUAAAAGGAUGACACAAAUGAAACUAAAAUGAGAGGAUACCAUAAAUGAAACUAAAAAGAUAACAAACUCAGAACUGAGAUAAAAUGAACAGCUUUAGGCUAUGGAUACAAUGAACAACUCAGGGCUGUGGAUGUCAUGAAUGACUCAAGAAGAGAGACACUAUACGCCCAAAAGGGGAGAUCGCGGUUUGCGACUCCAAGUCAAACCACUAAAGGAUGACCAAGAUGAGGGAAAAAUCAACUCACUAACAAGAAAGAUCCAAAUGACUAAAGGAUGGGGGUAUGUCCCAAAUGAAACUCAACAAUAAAAGGAUGACACAAAUGAAACUAAAACGAGAGGAUGCCAUAAAUGAAACUGAAGCGAUAACGAACUCAGAACUAAGAUAAAAUGAACAACUCUGAGCUGUGGAUGCAAUGAACAACUCAGGGCUAUGGAUGUCAUGAACGACUCAAGAAGAGGGACAUUGUAUGCCCAAAAUGAGAUAUCACAAUCUAUGACUCCAAGUCAAUCCACUAAAGGAUGACCAAGAUGAGGGUGAUCAACUCACUAAAAAUGAGGAUCUAAACGACUCAAGGAUGGGGGUAUGCCUCAGAUGAUGCUCAAAGAAAAAGUGAUAAUCUAACAAACUAAAUGAAGAAGAAACAUGAGGUCUGCAACCAAGAACACUUGAAACAAAAAUAAGAACAAAUGAAUAUGAUCUAUAGCCAAAACAACUAAAAUGGACUCAGAAGGAAGGACUGACUAGGAUAAUGAACUCAAUGAGAAAAGGUACAUGCCUAAGAUGAUAACUCGUAAAGAUCAACGAAUGGAAUGAGCGGACAUGAAUUCAACAAAUAUCUAACAAUCUCAAUGAAUAGGGUAUGCCCCAGUGUGAUGACCCAUAAGAAUCAACAGAUGAAUCGAGCAUCCAUGAAGUCAACAAAAUACCUGAUAAUCUCGAUGAAGGGGGUAUGUCCUAGUGUCAUAAGGAUCAAUCGUGUCUCCGGGUCUAUUUGACACAACACCCUGAUAUAAAUGUGCAAGCGCGUAGGACCAAUGGAAUGUCACACAAAUGUCACUGAAAGAUCUCUAUAUCACAAAUACCCAACUAAACAAUGGCUAUGAGCUCAUGCCUACUAUCAUCUGAAAAGAUCAAUCAUCAACGAGACUAAAGUCUGCAUGUCUCAAAGAUAUAUCUGAUAACGAAUCCAAAAUAUGGCUCAAUACUAAAGAAAAUCAUUGUCACUCAGAACUUUGUCAUAAAAGCAUCAAUUAUACCAAAACUUUAUCCAACACUCAAACUGCAACUGCCAACAUGACAUAUGAGAUGCCCAACUAAGAAAAAUAGGAUGCUGAUCAAAUACUUUGAUAAAGAUGACAUCGAACUGAACACUCUGAUGAAAUAUCGAUAUACUGUCCAAGAAGAUUUGUUGAUGAGAAAAACUAAACUGAUUCGCUCUACUGAAAAACAUAAAUAUCGUCGCGCAACUGACUGGUUCAAAAUAAUCCUCGAGGAACUGUGGUAAUUAGAGAUGACUCCGACUCAACGAUAAUCCACCAAGAAAUUAAAAUGAUAAAUCUAUCAAUGUCCCAAGGAAAAUACUCCAAAUUGAAUCUCAAAAUAACAAGAGGUUUGAUAAUCUCAAGAAUAGAAAUAUGUCUUUGAUAAAGCCCAACUGAAUCUAAUGUGGAUAUGAUAACCUCGAAGUGGGAGAAAUAUGCCCCAGUGUACAGGAUCUACCCACCGCUCUAAGAACUAUCUCCAACUCAACAACAAUCCAAAUGGAUGAUCCAUCUCAAAAGUGCUCUACAUGAAGAACUCGAAAUGAUGAAAACUGUCAAUAAACCCAAUAAUACUCCACUGAGGACUACCUCCAUCUCAUCAACACAACUCCAUUAAGAAUCAUGGUGAUAUUAAGAAAGUAUGGGCAUGACUCACGAGCUCAAGAAAGGCUCUACUAGGGAAUCAGGAUAAAAUCAGGCUGUCAAAUCAAUGAAAUAUAGACUAUCUCAACGAAGAGGAGGUAUGCACUAGUGUAACAUCUAACGUGUGGUAGAUUAGAAAAUCGGACAACCUCAAAUCAUCCAUCAUCAAAUGUGUGAUCUCAGUCAUCCAAAUCCACAACUGAAUCGAAUCCACAUAUCAAAAGGCGUCUCUCAAAAGAAGAAGCCUGAAGACAUCUAAAUAUCAAAAAGUGUGGGCCUGAUUGAAUGGCCCAAGAAAUGCUCCACUAGGGGAUCAUGAUAAGAUAACACACAAGUCAUCGUCUCGGUGUGUAUCUAGUAAGUGGAGAUGAUUAUGUAACUCCAUGAAGAUCUAUAAAUCUCAACCGAAAGGGAAAUAUGCCCUAGUAUGGCAUUAGAUAUAUGGUAGAUCGAAAAAUCAAACAACAUCGGAUCAUCCAUCAUCAAAUGUGUAAUCCCAAUCAUCCAAAUCCACAACUAAAUCAGAUCCAAAUGUCAAAAGGUGUCUCUCAUAAGAAAAAACAUGAUGAUAUCUAAAUAUCAACUAAAUCUCAAAUACCUGUCCAAGUAAGGGUUGUCGAAGACGACAUCUUGUCUCAUGGCCUCGGGUGGUCUUAAGACACGGAAUGUAAUGUAGGCUAGAGUGAUAGGGUAAUAGAAAUGAAAGGAAACUAGGCCUAAAUACCCAAUGAUCAAAAACUCAUGCCCUCAUGUAUAAAAUGCAACAUAUAUAGAAAAACUCGUGAGCCAUGGACCUGAGGGCGCCCAAAGUGAAUAUAAUAUCAGUAAUGAGACAAUGAAUCAAAUCAAACCGAUAAUGAGAUACGCAAGAAUGAUGCAAGGGAAAUAUCAAAUUUGGAAUAGGUCAGUGUAAGGAAUGAACAAGGGGAUGAAUUAAAUGGGAUGAAUCACAAACGAUGACGAGGAUGAUAGCAAAUCAAUGAAUAUACGAAGAAAAGUAAUGAUAAACUCAAAUCAAACAUGGAGUGAAGUCACAUCGACAAUGAAUGUAAUUAUGGAAAGGACAAUGACCUAGAGCUCCUAGGAGAAGGUCACUCAUCUCACUCUUAAAGAGAUAUGAUAAAGUGAAUACAAAGAAAAGAGGAUCUCAGAAAGCUCACAUACGAACUCUCACCAACAAUCAUACUUAAUAAAGUGACUCUCGGAUAUCAAUAUACACGCCCAACGAUGGAGAAUACUAUGCACAUACACACAUGUGUUUAUUUUAUUUUAUUUUAUUUUAUCUUCUUUUUUUCAUUUCAUUUUUUUUUCUUCAAUUUUUAUUUUAUUUUAUUUUACAUAUAUACAAAUGCACAUACCCUAAACAUGAACAAAAUAAGCUCCAAAUAUGAUAUCAAUAAUGGAUAGACACACUCUCAAGUGCUAAAGUAGCAUAAACUCUCUCCAAUGAGAUGACCUUCUCAAACCAAGGGUCUUCAGAUCAAUGUUUGUGGGAUAGAUAGUGGAAAUGAUGUGAAUAUCCUCAAUGUAAUGAAUUGAGGAGGAUCACCACUUAGGGUGGAAAUAUUAUGAAGCAAAACAAGUAGUAGAUAAAAUAAAGAAAAAUAUAUGAAAAACACAACCAAUGAGAUGUGAUGAAAUGCAGUAGUGUGAUGGUAGGAAAAAUAAUGAGAGAAAGAUGCACCCGUAGGCCCAAGGCUCAUGAAACUCCUGAAUGAAGCAUGCAUACACUAAAGGGUCCCUAUCCCGGUGUAGAAGUGUAAGCAAGGUAAUAAGAAAGAAAGACUCUGAUGCAUAUGCGAUGCUCAAUGGGCUAACAACGGUUUGUAUGUCAAAAAGGGAUAACAAGGUAUAUGACUAACCGAAAUGAUGACCACCCAUCAUGCGACCACGGUCUCAAACAUAAUACUUCUUCAACUGAUCUACAUUGGUCGGGUCUAAGAAAUGAUUUCUAUCGAGAUAUGUCAAUCAUGCUAGCACCUCUAGGAUCAACUCUCUAAUGACAUGGAGUCCACCCCAAAUGGGUCUGAAUGUCCCCGAGGAUCUCCUGGAAUAGAUGAAUCUUAAUGACCUGAGAGGUGAGAUGAACAAGAUGCGCAAGAAGAAAGUCAUCACAAGAGCCACACAACUACUAAAAAAUAAUCAAAUCCAUAUGUAAAAAAAAGUAGGAACAUCUUCAAAACAAGAGAUAAAAUCCAAUAACACGUCUAAUGAAAAUGGUGGGCCCACAAGGUUGGACUAUACCAUAACCGGGCUAGCAAUGCCCUCAAAUACAGCAUCAAAAUAAGCAAAAAAACUAUAUCAGCUCUGAAGCAGGUGAAACUGAAUCUCCUUUGAACUCCUGAUGAUGAAGACCCCAAACAUAUAUAAAAAAGAUGGAUCGUCUUUGGCUAAUCAAUGCUAACCAUCUAACUAACAUCUAAUGCAUCCACCUCAAACUCAUCAUAAAUAACUGCCUUGUCUACCAUGUCUCUAGUCUAUGAGAAAACAUUAGUAUCCUCCAUGAGAUCUCUCAUCUAGUAUGAUAGGCUCUGACUCGGUAUCCUUUGAUUUCAUCAUCUGUACACUGUCAUCAUCAACAUGAUCAAUGAAAGGAAUACUAAUUGUAGAGGAGGGAACCACAUGAGUAGAAUGAGCAAUCAUAGGAUUAGAAUUCACACCUAACUGAUCCAAGCUAAUCGAACACCGAUCAAUAACAUCCUAAAUGGCAUGUCGAAGAGCAGUGCACCGAUCUAUGUCAUGUCCCUGACUCUGGUGGUAGGAACAGUAUAGGUCCAUCCUAAACUAUGGUGGGAUUGGCUGAAGAAGAAAAUUAGGCUCCAAUGAGGUCAAUAAUCUAACAUCCAUGAGCUUCCCAAGAGUCUGACUCAAUGGCAUCCCUAAUUGAGAGAAAUAUCGUGGUAUCCUCGGAGUAAAAGAAGUGCAAGACUGUGGAGGUCCGCCUCUGGGAAUGGAGGUAGAAGGUCUUCCUAUGAAUUGAGUAGCAUAGCCUAUCUGUGGGGGAGUAAAAUACGAGUAUGUCCAAUCAAAAGAUCGAUGUGGAACUGGCUGUCUAUACUGAUAUCGGGAGUAAAGAGAAUAUCCCUUGGUAGCAUGUGAGGUUGACUGGUGACGUCUUAAGGUCCUCCGUUUGGUAGGAGAAAUAGUACUGACAUCUAGCCUCUACUCUCCUGAUGGCUCAUUUUCCUUAGAGUCAAUGGGGAAAGAAUCUGGCCAUAAUCAUUUUCGCAAGAUCGUCCUCUACACUGAAAAUGGUCAUGACCAAAGAUCCAAAAUCUGUAAAAGGUACUCCAGUCACAUGUUUGGCAAUCUUGUGUUGUAAUAGUCUCACAACCAUUUGUAUAUGUUCUCUCUCAGUAGGUCGGUCAAUAACCUGGACAAUCUUCUCUCUCCAACGGGAGAUGAAAAAAGAAACUGACUCAUCAGACCCAUGUCUCAAUGCGUCUAAUUCCUUCCUCGAUAUAUCUACGCUAGUAUUAAAAGUGAACUGUCGUAUAAACUCCUAAGCUAAGUCCUCCCAAGUCUUGCAGCGAGAAAAAUCUAAUGAUACAUACCAACACUAAGAUGUACCACUCAAAGAUAAUGGGAAUAAAACAAUCAACUGGGUCUUAUCCAAUCCAUAGGCUCUCAUAAUGGUGCUAUAGAGUCUGAGAUGAAUGUGAGGACAAUCGAUGCCGGUAAGUUUGUCUAUCUCCGACAUCCUAAACUCGGCUGGUAAACUGACCACUGGUAUUCCAUCAGAAUCAUCCCAAGUGACUAAACUAUCUAACAUCCUGAUAUGCCUAAUUUGCUGUUCGAGAUGAUCCAUGCAAGCAUGUACAUCCUCAGAGACUGUGGUCUGUGCCAUAACGGGUGGAGCAACCUCAGAUUGACCAUGUAGCAUGAAAGGCGAGGCAUGUGACACUCAUGGUCCGGGAGAUGGGGAUGGACGUAUACCCUGUUGACUAUCGGGCUUUUGACUGAGACUAUCUAUGACCUCCUGAAUAGAAGCCACAGUAGAACACAUUUCAAAAGCCUAAAGUGCCUAAUCAUGCACCAAUUAUCCUAGAUUUAACCAAAUAUCUUAUUGCUCAAAAAUAGGAUAGAACAACAAGUUAUGCAAAGAUUAAAUUAUUUAACAAGCCUAAAUUUGAAAUAAAAUCAAAUAAAAUAAAAAUUAUAAGGGUCCCAAAUAUGCAUUAAUUAUCCAAGAUUUCACUUAACGUCCCAUUGUUAUAAAACAGGGUAGAUCAGCAAGUCAUGUAAAAACGGAAAUAUUUGACAAGCUUUGAGGUAAGAAAAAAUUGAAGUAAAAAUUAAAUAGCACAUUCAAAGUGUCUAGAAUACAUUUAAAUAUUUUAUGAGACCCAAACAUGAACUAAUUAUCAUAGAUUUCGAAGAAUAUUUCACAACACCAGAUUCGGGUCAAUAUAACAAGUAAGGAAAAAUAUAAUUAAUUUUCAAACUUGGAAAAUGAUUUUUGAGUGAAACCAAAGUCUAAAACCUUAUUUAAGAAGUCUAGAAUAUAGUAAGAAUAUUAAAAAUAAUUAAAAACCCAUGCGCUAAUACAUAAUUUCAAAAAUCUUUUGAGGGUAAAAAACAUGGCAAAUUUUGAAUACUUAGAUUUCCAAUUUAAUCAAUAAGCUUAGAGAAGGGCUUCUUCACAAAACAAAAAUUAUUUUAUACAUUUAAGAAGUCUAAAACAUCUCCAAGCCUAAAAAAAAAAUUAGAACAAGACAAAAAAAUUCAAAUUUAGAAAACCAUUUUGUGGGUAAAAAACAGGGUAGAUAAUGAGUAAGUUUCGAAAAUAAAAUGUGGGUCUUACCAAUGCUCAAAUUAAUUUAUAUGGAUUAAUCCACAUACCCAACCUUCUAAUGAUCAUGGAAGGAAGCUCAUGAGGGCUGAAAAUGAUCUCACUAUAUUAAGGUUUGUGAGAUUUAUCCAUGUUUCAAAAAUUAAGAAAAUUUGAAAAUUAUAAGUUUGAAAAAUGAGUAAUGUAGGCCAAAGGAAAGAGCUAUGGACCAAUCCACAUGACAUGCAAUCUUUCUCAACCCUCAUGAGUGUGAAAUUGAGUUCAAACGAGGCAUAGAGGGCCAAUAGCACUCACACAUGAAAAGGGGUUUGAAAUUCACAAAGAAAUACUUAUAGAUGGGGAUGUUCUAAUGUAAAAUCAUGCAUUAUGUACCAAAAAAUAUAAAAGCCAUCUAUUAAACUUAAAAUGACUAUAAACUUAAGCCUCAAAUGACCAUGAAAGAGGGUUUCAAAUAGGCUAAAAAUGAUCAUUUAAAAGUAUAUUGAUGAGAAAGUGAUGUAGAGAACACUCUGUCUUACUUGCGUGAAACAAUGGAAAUGGAUCCCUCAUUUUAUUAUCAAGUAUAAUGUUGAUGAAGACAAUCACUUAACUAACUUGUUUGGUAAGAUUUUACAAGUAUAUUGGAUUACACUUAUUUUGAAGAUGUGUUAGAAUUUGAUUUACUCAUACCAAACUAAUGUUUAUGGGAAACCAAUGGUCAUACCAGCUAGUUAGCAUUAACCCGUCACUAUUAAAUUGUAGUGUUUGGAUAUGCAUUAUUAGUGGAUGAAAGUGUUAACACUUAAGUUUGGGUUUUUAGAAAAUUAGAUGCAAUGACUAAUAAGACGUCUCUUUCCGUUUUUAAGUGCAUCCACUAAUCUCCAUAUUAAAAGACUUUGCUAAUCAUUUAGUUAGGUGCAUGUUCACGGAAAACACGGUUGGUGAAUCAUCACUAUCAAAUUUAUAAGUUUGGAUGGAAAUUAUUAGUUAAUGAGAGUGUUAAUACUUAUAUAUGGGAUCUAGAAGCAAUAGAUAACAAGAUGCCUCUUUUCUUUUUUAGGUGUAGUCACUAAUGUCCAUAUUAAAGAAUUUGUCAACCAUUUUGUUAGGUAUGUGUUCAUGGAAAGCAUGGUUGAAGAAUUUUCACUAUUAAAAUUGUAAUGUUUGGAUAUGUAUUAUUGGUGGAUGAGAGUGUUAACACUUAUCUAUGGGCUUUAGGAGAUCCCGAUGCAAUGGAUAAAAAGAUACCUCUUUCCUUAUUUAGGUGCAUUCACUACUAUUUAUACUUUUAUUAAAUUUAAGUAAUAAAUUUAUUUGUUAAACAUUCUUAUUUAAAGUAGUAUAGAUUUAUAAGAUAACUUCAAAAAUAUUUACUAUAAAAGAUAACUCAUGAAUGUAAAAUCAUGGUUGUAAAAUAUAUUUUCACUGAAUAUAGACAAAUGAGACAAAAAAAAAAUUUGAAAUUAAAAUUUAGUUAACUAUUUUGACUUAAAAUGUAAAUUAUUUUUAACUUUAAAUUGUGAUAGUAAGUUAUUUCAUUAAAUAUAUUUAAUUUAUUUAAUAACUUAAAUUAAAUUAUUAAGUCAAAUUAACUUAUUAAAUUGAUUUACCAAACAUCCUCUUAAUUUCCAAAUUUGACUGUAGUCCUCAAAUUUUCAAUAUAGUUCAAAAAUAGUACUAUAGAACUCUUCUUGAUAUAAAUGUAAAAAUAAGUUUUGGAGUGAUCCUCAAAGAAGGACAAGUUAAUGGUCUUUACAAACAAUUGGAAGUGAUUCAACUUGUAAAAAUUUGAUAUUUAACAAAGUUUUACAAAGUAUGUCUAAAUAUUUUUAAAAUAAUUAAUAAAUUAACACUUGAUAAAUGAACAUUUGAAUUUGAAAUAAGACAUUAUCUAUUAAAAUUACCCCUUCACUAAUUUUUCCAAAAGCAUUAUGAAAAUACUUUUUAAUUUAUAAUUAAUUCUACUUGCUUUUUCACAAGUCUUGUUUGUGAUGACAUUUAACUUCUAUAGUUAAAAAGGUAAAAGCAAUAGAAGUAGAUGUAAAUAUCAACAAAGGGAUUGAAUUUUAUGUUUGAAUAUGUUUAUCAAAAAUAGAGAUAGUUACAAUAUUUUUGAAAAAAAUUAAUUAAACAAAACUCAAUUUCAUAAAUUCUGUUAGAGCCAAAACAUGGAUUUCUCUAACUCUUUGAAAUACAAAUAAGUUAUGUUGAAAAAUGUAAAACCUAUAACUAAGAAUUGAUAACCCUAUCAAAUUAUCAACCAUUCUUAAAAAUCCAAUAUUCUCUCAAAUAAUUUUAUAAUAAAAUUAGAAUCACUUUCAAAUGUAUUCUUAGAUAAAUUAAACUUUGAAUUCAAUAUGGGAGGCUUAUAAGUAAGCAUCCAAAUCCUUUUCAAUAUUCAGCUUCAAAAUUUAGGAAUUCAAGGACAAGAGAGAGAGAACUCCAUGUGGAGGAAAAGAUUCUUAUGCUAAAUCCACAUCUUAAAAAACUCCAUUUCCUUUAAUUUAAUCAUGAAUAUUUUAUUCAUUUAAAUCUUAUCAUAAGGAAUAUGAAAAGAUGUUAGAGAAAAGAACAAAGAGUGAGACAAAGAAAGUGAAAGCAAUUUAAUCUUAUCAACUCUUACUUGGGGUACAUGCCUUGGGCCCUCCUUACCUGGUGAGACCCAUGUGUAAAGUAGGGUUAUUCCUCAUGCAAAUACAAUAGUGAUUAAUAUGAAACAAUUAUUGAGUAUGGGGACAAAGAGGAAUAAUAAUUUUAAUAUGCUCUUUUGUGAUGAUUGGAUGAGUCCUUUUAAUGGGGUUCUUUCCAGAGUUUCCGGUCAAAGUAGUUGUUUUUUUAAAUAAAAAAAAAAAAUUCAAUCUAAUCUCAUAUUGAAAAUAUUUAUCAAAAUAGUUUAUCCCUACAACAUCAAAUUCAAAUUUAUUAUUAUUAUUAUUAUUCUUUUUAAACCAUUGAUGGUUUUUAAAACCACAAUCACUAUGGUUUUAUACACUCAAAACACAGGAAAAAAAAAUUCACAUGAAUGAGAGCAUGCGAUGAGAAAGACUAGAUCAACAAAUAUUUUUUGAAAAUGGUCUAUUUCCAUUAUUUUUGUCUUCAAAAGCACUGCUUUGACAUUAAACUCUUGUUUCUAAGUUGCUAUCACGACAACAUGUUUGAUGGGCACCAAGGUUCAACAAAAGAAUGCCUCUAAUUCUCACAAUUAAUAUUUAUUUUAAAAAUAUUAAUUACUUAUUUUUUAAAAUUAUUUUAAAAAAUAUGAUCAAACAAUUCUUAUGUCUUUUUAUUGUUAAUUAUAACACUAUGUUUGAUUUAAAGAAAAUAUUAAAAAAAAAAAAAAGAAUAAGAAAAAUAAUUUUAUCAAUUUUUGGUUUUAUUACAAAUAACAUUAAAGAAAGUGAAAGUUAAGUAAAAUUAGUUAAAAAUUAAAUUAGAAAUUUUCAAAUUAUUCAAUUUUUAUAUUAAAAUAUUAAAAAAAAUUUAAAUAAAUUAAAAUAAUUUAUUAAUUUUAAAUUUAUUUUUUAUUUUUUUUUAUUUUUUUUUAUUUUUUAUUUUCUACUUGGCUAUUUUAUUUUCUUUUUUCUUAAAUUUUCACUCAAUUUCUUUUGAAAACCAAACAAAACCUAUAAAUGUUUUUUUAACCACAACGUGUCAAUGAAGUUGUUUGUCGAUAUCCAUUAUUUUACUAAGAAUUUUCAACCCUAUAGAUAUAGCCUAAGGAGCAUAAAAUUGAGGUAAGAAAAGAAGGACAUGGCCAAUAAUUUUUGUUUCUUGUUUUGGUGGGCAUGAAUUAAUAUACGGUUGUUUGUUUCGUGGGAAAAUCAAUAAAGCAAGUUAAAAAGAUGUGAUUGGACUUAGAGAAAAUAUUUUCUAAGGUAAGACCCUUGAGAUGCUCACACAAAAGACAUCUUAAACGUGCACGUAAGAUUGUAGAUAGACUCCAUCAUAUUUUUUUAUUUUCUUUCUUGAAAUAUUAUUUAACUUAAGCCUCUUUUUUUUUCUUAUGAUUAUUUAAUUUUGUCAAUUUUCAUAAUUAAUUUUCUUAAAAUAUUAUUAACAAUAUAAAUUAAGAAGCAAUAGGUCCAGCUGUAAUUUGAUAAAUUCAUGUAAAUUUCUGUCGGUUUUGAGUUUUUGAUAUGAUUAAGAUGAUUUAGUUCUUCUUCUUUUUUCUUUUUUUCUUUUUUUUUUAUUUAAUUAAGUCAUUUAAAAAAUAUUUUAUCUAAAAAUCAAAAUUAACUUUUAUGUAAAUAUAGAAUCCAAAAAAACCUUUGUAGUGAUGUUUAUUAGAUUUUAGACAAAUUCAAAAUUUUUUCCCAACUUCAACUAAAAGAACAAGCACCAAUAAAACACCUUUAUUUUCAUCAAAUUAAUGGCUCAUUUUAAAAGUACUUAAUAAUAUGAUUCAAUACUAAGGUGUUGUUUUUUUGUUUGUAAGGUAUUGGUUUGUAUUUUUUUUUUCUCAAAGCAAUUUAUUUUCAGAUUUUAGAUUAUUUAUCUAUUUAUUUAUUUUUUUACUUUUUAUUGACUUAUUGCUUAUUUCUUAAAUUUUUUAAUUAAGUAGAAAAAAAUUAAAAUAUAGUGUUUAUUUUUUUUAUUUGAUUCUAAAUAGAACUUAAAAUUAAAUAGUAUUUAAUAAUGUUAAAUAUUUUGUUUGUUUUCAUAAUAUUUUAUUUAUAUUAAGUAUUAAAAAGUAAAGAAAAACCAAUAUACUAUUUUUUUUCCUAUUUAGAAAUAGUCAAAUAUUUUUAUUUUUUUCUGUUUAAUAAAAAAUUUAUAAUAAGUUAUGAAAAUGUAGAAAAACAAACGGGUUUUAAAGUCUGAAAGUAAAUUACUUUCUCAGCAAAAAACUAAAAAAACAAACACCCUUAUUUUUUUUUUAAAUAUGAAAAAUGACUAAUGAUUUUUCUUUAUUUUUUAAUACUUAAUAGAAAUAAAAUAUUAAAAAUCAAACAACUUAAUACUUUUAAGUUUUGUUUAAAGUUAAGUAAAAAAAAUAAAUAAAUAAACACCACCUAAACAAUAAUUUUUAUUUUUUUUGAUGAGACACCAAUGAAUAGAGAGUUGAAAUUUUGGAAGAUAUAAACCUAUACACACUAAUCAUGAUUAUCAAGUGUGACUUUAGAAAAUAAAACUAAAAUAAUACAUUUUCUCAUUAUUCAAUUGUAUUAGGUUAAAGACUUUUUCAACUUCAACUUUUGCAAAUUAUUACAAAAAGAUUUUCGAUCAUCCAAGACUCAACCAAUUUAAGGAACAUUAGGAAUUUGAAAAGUUUGAAAAGAAAGGAAGAAUUAGAAAUUUCUUUAAAUAUUUUACUUCAAUGAUUCUCUAUAUUUUGUAUAAUUAUUUUUAAAAAUAAUUAAAAUAUAUAUUUUUUUAAAUACUCUAUUCUAAAAACAAUUCUUAAAAACUAGUUAAGGAAUAAUGGACAACCAAACUCGUUUUCAUAUAUAUUUUUUUCAAAAACAAAAAACCAUUAAUAUUCUCAAACAUAAUCCAUCUUUUUCAUAAUGAAUUCUUAUAGAAACAUUUUCUAUAUAUAUAUAAAAAAAAUGAUGGGAGGUGUUUUCAAGUUUAGAAAAUAAUUUUCUAUUUUUAAAAAUAAAAAACUAUUUUUAAAAAUAAAAAACUAUUUUUAAAAAUCUUAAUAUUUAUUAUUGUUUGUUGGCAACUAUUAAUCAUAAGGUACAAAAUCAUCCAAAUGAGAAAAACCCAUCAAGGAAUUUCAUUAAAUCCCAACUAAAAUCGUUUUGUUCAUCUUGUGGGGAUAAAUGAUACACUAAUGAAUCAUUAAGGAAACUUGUAAACCAACGUCUCUAGAGAAUUGAAAGAGACGUGUUAGUUUCAAUUUCUUUUACUUAAUUGGGACUGGGGCAUCAUAGUGGAAACCAUCUUGUCGGCAACUGUAAAACCAAAUUUUUAAAUGUGUCUUCCAUGUGAAGAACGUUUUCCCCCACUUACGUACGUAGAAAGUACGUAUAUUUUUUCCUACCAUAUAUAAUCAGACUUAUAUUGGCCUAUAAGUAGGAACCUUCCGUAAGAACAGAUACCAUCAAUUCUUCAUAAGAGAUUAACCACCUACUCCUCUCCUCUCUUAAGAAAUUAAUGGUCUGUCCAUAGUUCAAGUGUUCAUGCAUUUUUAAUUUGUAUUUCGUAGAUUUGAUCUUACACUAUUCUGCAGUUCUGAUCAUCUCCAUUUGAAUUAUCAGUUGAUCAUUCUGAAGAAACCCACUAUUCAUUUCCUUGGGUAUUUUUCAAUUUGCAUGCAUAUAUGCUAUUAGGCUUUCCCUUAAUUUUCUUGAAGUCCAAAGGACAACUACACGCAUGCAGCUUUCAGAUUCCUAUUGAAAAAAGUUUGAAUUCAGAAACGGAGCUUCACAGGAAAAAAAAAAAAAAAGGAAGAAAAAAAAGGGAAGCUAUAUAUAUCAGUAGCACUACUAAUGUUUCUCACUUCCCAAUUUUCAAAAUUUGCAGCAACACAACAUGGAUAUGGCGACGAGCUCAUCUGAUGUAGCCAUUGAAGGACUGAGGCCGCUUCUGAGGUAUCCUAUAUGAGUAAUAAAUUUUGGUUUAUAUGUAUAUAUAUAAAUCAGCAGUUUGUGGUGUUUCUGAAGCUGAUUUACAAAAUAGUAGAAUAUAUUUGUAUAUUAGAUGAUGUGUUUAAUUGUUAUUUUCGGGAAUUUCCACUCUGUUUGUUUACUAAGAAACUAAUGGAGUUAACUUGUUGCUUUGGUAGUGAUAAGGAAGGUCUGGAUGAAAUAGCUGCAGCAAAAAUUGAGAAGUUGACCGCUGAGUUGCAAGAGCAAGAGCAGGAGCAAGAUCAUGAGUGUGAUCCUGUCGAGAGGAUUAAAGACGGGUUUAUUCACUUCAAAAUCCACCAUUUCGAGUACGAUGGCAUUAUCUCUAUAAAAAAAACUAAGUAUACCUAAAAGCAUACAUGAAUAAUCAAGAGAAAAUAAAGUCUAGGAGAAUCCUUCUCCCCUUUUCUUUUUUCCUUUGAAUAAUUUGGAUAAAUUAAUUUUUCUUAUGGAUAUGGC
This 25350-nucleotide long non-coding RNA is filed under the name Vitis vinifera (wine grape). RNAcentral describes it as "long non-coding RNA (VVIN_LNC005749)". The record is from RNAcentral. Lineage: Eukaryota; Viridiplantae; Streptophyta; Magnoliopsida; Vitales; Vitaceae.